RNAcentral lists this ribosomal RNA (465 nucleotides) under uncultured bacterium. RNAcentral's name for it is "partial 16S ribosomal RNA". It matches the Rfam family "Bacterial small subunit ribosomal RNA", at positions 28 to 507 of the family's 1533-position model. The record is from RNAcentral.
GACGGACGCUGGCGGCGUGCUUAACACAUGCAAGUCGAACGGAAAGGCCCCAGCUUGCUGGGGUACUCGAGUGGCGAACGGGUGAGUAACACGUGGGUGAUCUGCCCUGCACUCUGGGAUAAGCCUGGGAAACUGGGUCUAAUACCGGAUAGGACCGUGCUUUAGUGUGUGCGGUGGAAAGUUUUUCGGUGCAGGAUGAGCCCGCGGCCUAUCAGCUUGUUGGUGGGGUAAUGGCCUACCAAGGCGGCGACGGGUAGCCGGCCUGAGAGGGUGUACGGCCACAUUGGGACUGAGACACGGCCCAGACUCCUAUGGGAGGCAGCAGUGGGGAAUAUUGCACAAUGGGCGCAAGCCUGAUGCAGCGACGCCGCGUGGGGGAUGACGGCCUUCGGGUUGUAAACCCCUUUCGGCAGGGACGAAGCUUUUGUGACGGUACCUGCAUAAGAAGCACCGGCUAACUACGUG